Molecule: small nucleolar RNA, 47 nt
Filed under: Pyrobaculum aerophilum str. IM2
Lineage: Archaea; Thermoproteati; Thermoproteota; Thermoprotei; Thermoproteales; Thermoproteaceae
Description: PAEsR04
Source: RNAcentral
GUGAUGAUGGGAUUCGACUGAGCGGUGAUAACGUCCUCGAUCGCUGA